Molecule: non-coding RNA, 9351 nt
Organism: Monodelphis domestica (gray short-tailed opossum)
Lineage: Eukaryota; Metazoa; Chordata; Mammalia; Didelphimorphia; Didelphidae
Source: RefSeq, a predicted model, not a curated record
AAGUUCUAGUAGUGCUGUUCUGGAACUGAUCAGGAGCUCAGGAGAAAGAUCAAGACUGGAGAUGUAGGAAAGAUUGUUGAAACUCCAAAAGUGGGUGAAUUCUUUGAAUGGAUUUCCUUUGGGCAAUACUUCUUUCCCCCAUUGACUCCACAGAGGAAGACCGGCAUAAACAGACAUCUGGCAAAGAGUACCCCCAAAACUAUAUCUUGACCUGAUUGGAAAACUGGACUAUACUAGGAGGAGACCACCUGAAAUCUGAACCUGUCAUCUGUAAAAGGACCUUCCAGAUCCAACGGAUGUCUCAUUCAAUCAACUUCACUAGGAGAAAAAAAAUGGUUUUCUUAUUCUCGUGGCCUUUGAUUUUUCCUCAGAGUUUCUGCUAGUUAGUUGGAAACCAGGGGCUCGCAGUGGCAAAGCUAAGCUAGGACUUGGAGGCUUCUGGCAGGCGAGGCGGGUGGAGGAGGAAGGAGGCUGACAGAUCCACUGGGGGGAAGAAAAGCCGAACUGGAUUCACCGUGUCCUGGAUGGAAAAGGAGGAGGAGGAAGAGGAGGAGGAGGAGAGGAGGAGGAGGAGGAGGACAGAGAGGGGAACCGCGGAGCUCCUUCAACUCGCGCUGUCCGGUGAGAAGUGAGCAAGCAGGGACUGAUAGGAGGCUCCGGGAGCCCUCGCCUCCUUUCGCUUUUUUACCUGCCAAUCAAACCGCUACAAGACAACACCCUGAUCUGGCAUGGACAUAUUCCAAGAUUCACAAGAAAUCAGGAUAAUGGAGAAACCUUUGCAGCCUUCCAGAAAUCAGAGAUCUGAGAAGUAAAAGAAAAAAAAAAACAUGUCCAGGAAGAAUCACAGGAAAGUAACCAUUUUUUUCCUCUUUAAUAUUAACAGCAACAUUCAAAGGAACUUGAAUUUCAAGGUGCCCAGACUUCCAAACAAUUAGAAAGCUGAUUUCCUGGUACCCUCAGAUGGGCAGCUUUUAGAAUAUUCCAGUUCCAGGCUGGCACCCCAAACACCUCUCAGUGGGAUUCAGUAGAACAUAUGAAAUGGUUUGCUAUUUAGGGCUGAGCAUCGUUUGGGGGAACUUUUGUACAAGAUUCCAUGGGGAAGAGAAGGAGCCUCUCCUUUGAAAGGGUUAACUGGGUAGGAGGUUGACAAAAGCGAGGAGAGCGGUUUGUUAAAGCACUUAGUUUAAUUUGAGAAGAUGUACAGAUAGAAAAUAGGAGGGAGGAAAGAGAAAUAUUUUGUAUUUUUGUCUCUCGAGUAGCAUCCUGUAUCCUGUCGAGUUUUUCACCAACACCUCUAUAGGGAGACCGAACUGGCCACGUCCAUCUCCAUGCCUUGCCUUAGACUGAUGUAGCCCCAUUUCCUUUUCCUCUUGAUUCCCCUCUUUAACAAGAAGUUAGACAAACUAAACCAAAUCCUCUCACAGGAGGAAAAACCGACCAAUCAACCCGGGGCAUUUUUCUGAUGCCAAAUAACCAUUUCGCUCAUUUUUCUUUUUAAAUGUGAGCGUGCCACAUGGAUGAACUGGUUUCUCUUAUUUUUAUUUUUUGCUUUUCUUUUAAAAAGAAAAAAAAAUAAGGGAGAAAUCAACUCUAAUAACAGCAUUCGAAUAGAUUCAGGAAAUCAGAGGAAAUGCUGCGUAGUUGAAGCGCCCAUUGGGGGUGUUGUUUAUCAUCCCUGUCAAAUGCUAACUCAGAAAGCACAGCCCACUCCCCCCUCCUCCCCAUUCUAACUUUUGUAUGUUGGAAGACUAUGCAUGUGCAAACCUUGGGGGGCAGGGGGGUCCCUUAAGGGAGCUUUUGUGAGCCCAGAGCCCCCGUCUAUCAGCUCCCACCAAAGCAGUGGCCAGUGCAGGGCUGAGGACUCAAAUACUUUCAUUCUUUAUCUUGUAUCUCUGCAAGGUGGGUUUUGACUUUUUUUUUUCCUGGAUUUUUUUUUUAAUUUUCCUUUUCAGUAAGAAGGAUAAGCUUGGAGUAUCCAGUCGCCGUGGUAACUGCCAGAAAAAUCCUCCUGAAGUUUGAAGAGGUCAGCUAGCAGGGUCAACAACUCUGGCCUCUUUCUGCGCUCGGCCUGGCAGGCCCCAGCCUGCGGUUGGAGUGUCAGGCGAGGGCUAACCCUGGGAGGUGGGCCAUUCCAGCUCUGAUAUAAAUUUUUUGAGUCAGUUCACGGCUUGGGCUCUCCAGGUGGCCUCCAAAAUCGAUGGUGACCCCCUGACCUUGUCUCACGGAGGCAGAGCAUCUAACCUAAGCAAGGAUUUAGCCAGGAAUGACAGCUUUCCGCUGAGUGUUAUUGGGGACAGCGCAAACAGUUUGGGGGAGCCAGGAGGUAGGUGUGAGGGCUGGGGGGCUCAUUAAAAGCACAUUAAACAGCAAUUUUCAAGACCCUUUUCUGUUUAAAUAAAUUACGAGUAGCAAGAAUCAGGCCCAUUUUGGGCGCCAGGCCCUUUUCUUCUUCCAUCUUGGAAGAAUCAUCUUCCAUCGUGGAAAGGUUGGGGAAAGUUAUAGCGGGAAUCAAAGUCUGCCUCCUCACUCCCCAGCAGCCUUUUGGGGACAAACAGAGAAUAAACGCUUGGCUUCUGACAGAAUCCCUGCAUUCUGAGGAGCUCCACAUGCCUCCUCCAAAAGGCUCCAAAAAACCAAGCUGAUUAUUCUAAUAGAAAAGUCUUCUACUUGGGUCAAAUCAAUGAGUCCAACCGGAUGCUUUUGUUUCAAUCUGGAAAAAAGAAGGAACUUAUUAAAAAAAAAACAACCCAGCAUUUUGGAAUGAAGCUAGACCAGUUGUGAGGUCCCAACACCUUGCUGUUUUGUCAAACAAAUAGGGAGAGACUUUAUUUUAACCCUAUGGAGAGAAGGGGAGGGGGCACCCAACACUCCCAUUGGAAUGAGUUCAGAGGUGGAUGAAAAAUCCUUAAAUUGUGUCGCCUUGUUUUUUUCUGAAUGGGACAUCUCAUAGUCGAUGCCUCACCCCGUUUUUCUAAGGGAAAAAUGUCUUGUUUCCUUUGACUAGGUUAGUCUAAAUAAAUUCAACUGGAAAAUUAUAUAUCUAUGUGAAAUAUUUUAAAAAUACAUGUAAUGUCAAAUGUAUGUCAAAUGUAUAAACAAUCUGUAAAAUAUAUAUCACAAAUAUAUAAAAAUACAAAUAUAUAAUAUCUUAUAUCUAGAAUAUAUUUUAUAAAUAUUACAUAUAUCAUAUCAUAAAUAUAGAAAAUAUAUGUCACAUAAAUAUAGAAAAUAUAUAUCACCUAUCAUAGAAAUAGAAAAUAUGUCAUUUAAAUAUAUAAAAUAUAUAUCAUGUAAAUAUAUAAAAUGUAGAUUACAUGUUAUAUAAAUAUAUAAAAUAAGUUAUAAAUGUAUAAAAUCUUUACCUUCUGCCUUAGAAUCAGAGGCCAGAUUUGAACUAAGGUCCUCCUGACUCUAAGGCCAGAGUUCUCACCACUGGGCUGCAGGGACACUUUCAUCAUCUUCCUUCCAGAAGCUCCUCAUUAUAAGCUGUUUAAUGGUUAACUCUUAUUAUUUCUCAGCAAUAGCAAGGAAUUUGAGAGAUGGACUGUUAGAGUGAAUAGAGAACCAACCUGAUUAAUAGGGAAAUUUGGGGUUGGAUUUCCACCUUUGACAUACUCCAGUUAGGUGACCCUGAAUUUGUUAUUUAAAUUUUCAAUGCUCUGGGACAACUAGUUGGUUUAGUGGAUUAAGAACCAAAUCUAGAGAUGGGAGGUCCUGGGUUCAAAUUUGGCCUCAGACACUUCCAGAAUUCAUUUUCCUUCCCUUCUUUGAUCAAUUAAUGUUUUUUCUUGCAGAGCACAUUCUGAGAAAUGGUAUCUGGGAGCUAAGUCGCUGACCCGCAUUUUGGCAAAAAAGGUGACAACAAAUGAUUUAGGAAUGCCCAAGUCUUGGCCUCAAGAAUACUUCCCGGCCAGUUUUUCUCAGGCUUAACUCCAGAUAGCUGGCUUUUCCAAAACAGAUAUGGGAUGAUCCUAUAGCUAAUGAACCUAUUCAGAAAUGCACGAAUAGCCACUGUAUUUGGAAAGAAAACCAUAGGCUUCCAAGACCAAGGCUGCCAUUUGCAUGACGAUGCUUCAGAGUUUCUUUGUGGGGAAGUGGUAGGGAGCAAUCAGACUUCCAUUUGCUCUGAUAAGCUGCUUCCCCCAGCCUUCCACCUUCAAAGUAUGUGAAGAAAAUUCUGGAGGUCUAGAACUCUUGUCCUGAAAUUGUUUCCCUCAAAUUAAAAAAAAAAAUUGAUUUCUAGAACUUCUCCAGUUUCCCAGGAAAAUAAAGGAGAAUCCUACCAUUUAUAUUUUAGGAAGACAGUGAACUUUAGCAUUUAGAAACUGGGUUUUGUAAAAAUUUUGAGUGCUUUACCCUAUGGAUAUGGAAUAUUUUAUACAUGUGCCACAUGAGCUCCGGUAUCACUUGGUUUGGCUCAAUAAUCUUUCUUCAUUAUAGGAAUACAACCCAGGUAAAAAUAUGUCCAGAACUAAGCUAUGAAAACAAAAGGCACAACAUUUUCAAAAAAUGAUACUUUAAAUAUGGUUGGGGAUAUAGAUUCUAAGCAAUCAUCUUAGUGCAAAUAUCAAGAAUAUGGAAAUAGAUCUUGAUCAAUGACACAAGUAAAACCCAGUGCAAUUGCUUAUCAACUAUGGGAGGGGGGUUUGAGAGGGGUGGGAAAGAACAUGAAUUAUGUAACCAUGGAAAAAUAUUCUAAAUUAAUUCAUUAAAUAAAAUUUUCCAAAACUUGAAAAAAAUGAUAUUUUGGGGAGAAAGUUUAAACCUUCAUCUAUCAUAAGCAAUUCACCUCCCUUGGGCAGGUAUACCUUCUGCCAUCUUCCUUUGGUUCUUGAUUUUGUGACUUUAAUUAUCAUUGGGAUCAGAGCUUUGAAGCUGGAAUUUGAGCACUCGGGCCAAGUCAGUAUCCUUCUAUGAAUCUUUAUUUUUGUAUUUCCCUACUUGAGUAUAAUUAAAUGAACAUCUCAUCUCUUUCCCAUGUAUGUGGAAGAGCUUGCCAUCUUAAUUUUCCUGGCAAGCAGAUGGACCCUGAAAAGCUUCUUAGGAGCAAGACUCCAGUGAAACUUUGUAGAUUGGGGAAAUCAUCUUUAUUACAGGAAGAAGGUAUUCAAGAGCUAGUAUUGGGCAUGAUCAAUUUGACAUCCUUCUUCUCUGGAAUGCCAAUAUCUUGAAAAUAGAAACAAGAAAGUGGACUGCAGGCUGUCUCCUUCAGUAUGAAGGUCACCCAAGUUUAAGUCAUCCUACCUUCUAGUAUCUAGUUCAUUUAAUAUAGCUGCACAAUGAUUGAAAAUCUUAUAGUGCCUGGAUAGGUAAGCAGCCCACUUGUUUUGGAUGUGUGUAAAUUGAAAAACUAUCAAUAAAGAAGAAAGCUUUCCCACCUCUGCUUUCCUUUCCCUCUUGCCAAUAUCUGCAUUGAUGUUCAAAUUCUCCUAUUUGGAUAUGAUGAGCUAAGGAACUCCAGUUACUUUAAAGAAAAAUAGUGGGGGCCCUUGGGUAGCUCAGGGGAUUUAGAGAUGAGAAGUCCUCAGUUCAAAUUUGACCUCAGACACUUCCUAGUUGUGUAACUCUAGACAAGUCAUUCAGCCAGCCCUUACCACUCUUUUGCCUUGGAACCAAUAUACAGUAUUGAUUUCAAGAUGGAAGGUAAGGGCUUUUUAAAAAUUGCAAACAAAUAAACGCAUUGUAGCACAUACUAAAGGUGGCCCCCAAGAACGUGUCUGUUGGAGAAGAGGGAGUUCAAUUUGAAGGUUGGGUGGUAAGGAAGGGAAAGGUCUUUAAAAAAGUUAUUGUGAUAUAGAUACAAGAUAGAUAUCAUUAAAAUUAAUUUUCAAAAUUAUGGCUAAGGUAGAAAAAAGUUUUGUCAUCAGUAUAUAUAAAAAAGAAUAGUCUAGCUGGUAAUGUUUUCUGGCUUCCACCUAUGUACCCCCUAACCAGAGUUUUCUUGGCUCACCAUGUUCCCUAAUAUUUAAGGGAUAGAGAAAGAAAAUGACAGAAAAUGGAUUUGGACAAUAUUUUUUCCCAUGUGCCCACAAAAUCUUGAAUUAAUUAAAGCUGAUGUUUGGUUUUCAUUUUAGCCCUUCAUGGACAAAGAGGUGAAUGGCCUUUUGAGCAGCCCUAAUGGAGUCUUCAUCUCAUUGGUUAUAUGUCACUUACUAAAAAUAUUUAGGGGUAGUUCAGAAGCUUUGUUGGAUGUGGCAUCUGUCUGAUCCAAUGAUCAGUUUCCUCAGAAUUUACUUUUUAAGACACAUAGUAUUAUCCAAAAGUGCACCCCCCCUUUUUUUAAGCAAUUCAUCGUGACGAGCUAUUAUAUUAAGUUCUGGACCCCAGAUGUGUUCCUUUCAUGAAUGGAUUGGUCUAGAUGACCACUGUGGACUUUUUAAACUCUCAUUUUAGAAUCAAUACACAGUGCUAAAAGCUAGUAAAUGGGGAUUAAAUGACUUGCCUCGGAUCACACAAUCAGGUGUCUAUGACCAUAUUUGAACCCAGGACCUCCCAUCUCUAAACUUGGAUCUCAAUCACCACCUAGCUGCCCUUCACUGAAACUUCUUAAGCAAGGGAGUGACAUGACCUUUGAAGUUUGGUGUCAGUCACAAUUUAGAAUCACAGAAUCUGAGAGUUGAAAAAGUCUGCAAUGACCAUCUAGACCAACCCAUUUAUGAAAGGGAAACAUGAUCAGGGGUCAGAUUUUGACCUCUAUUCCUUGCUAGAUGGGUUAUAACAGACAACUCACUUGACCUCUCAGUCUCAGUCUCCUCAUCUGUAAAAUGGGGGUAAUGAUUCCUUUGCUGUUUGUAAAUCCAAAGUACUUUAUAAGUGUGAGUUGUCAUUAUUGUGAUUAGGUCACCAUCCUUUGUAGAUUCAGAGUCUCUUCAGCCAAAGAUCCACUUGAAUGUGAGUGUUAACCUUGUAGGGGGCUUAAAUUCACAGUACAAUGGAUUCCUUAAAUAAUUCUUGCAGCUGGGCUUUUCUUAAAGUUCAAAAAGGUACAGAUCUGACCCCAAGAAGAUGCCAAAAUAUAUUAGGGUGAGUCACAGCCUUCCUGGUAUCUGAAAACCUAUGGGUGGGAAAGAAAUUGCUAGCUCUCCUCCCAUCUUCAAUGGGUUUGGGCCUUAAAGAGAUUCAGUAGAGUGACCCCAAAAAACAGUUGAGCCAUUGACAAGCAUUUAUUGAGAACCUGCUCAGAGCUGGACACUGUGCCAGGGACUCGGGACAGUAGGACAGAAGUGAAACCUUUUUGCCCCUUUUCUAAGCAGCAGACAAUAUAUGGGAAAUUAGAGAGAGGCGAUAAGGGGUUGGGGAGGAGAGAGGUGAUAGUAGAUGGAUAGAGAUAAAAGAGAUGAUAGAUAAUGGACAGAUAGAUAAAGAGAUAGAGAGAUUAAAGGAUGAUGGAUAGACAGGGAAUUGUGUGGAUAGAAAUAGUUUGAACUGGUAGCUAGUCCAUGGAUAGAGAUAGGCAGACAGAUGUGAUACUUUGGAUGGAGAUAAGAUGAAGAGAUAGAUGGACGGUUGAUGGUUGACAUAUAGUUGAUGAAUAGAGAUAAAUAGAUGAUAGUAAGAUAAAUGAUAGUUUAGAUAGACAAAUAGAAAGAUAACAGAGAUGUGAAUAAAUAGAAGAGAGAGAGAGAGAAUAGUGUGCAUGAAGAAAAGGAAAGAGUAUUGGAUCUGUGUUCAAGUCUCUACUUUGUAACUUACUGCCAGUGUAGCCUUGAACAUUUCCCACAGGGUCAUAGGUUCAGAGUUAGAAAGGGUUAUAAUUUAUUUUUAACCUUGUUUUGCCAAGAAGGAAACAGUUCCAGUGACAGAAAGUGACUUGUUCUUAGCUAGGCAGAGCCAAGUUUCUAACUCAGAACCUCUGACUCCAUCAAUAUUUCUAUUGGACCCCUUUCCCUCUCUAAAUCACAGUUCCCUCCAGUGUCAAAUUGGUGGGGGUAAAAUGACAUUUCUGCAAUAUUUCUCAGCUCCCAAAGUCUCUGAUCCUGAGACUUCAAUAUAGUGUGUUGCUUAAAGUAUUUUCAUAUCCCUCAUUCAUCUGAUCUAAUCAGCAGCCCUCAGAGAUUCUGACCAGAGAGAGUUAUCAGCAUUUUACAGAUGAGAAAAAAUGAUAGGCAAAAAGGUCCUUCAUUCCUCUCAGCAAAUAGAGGGCAAGAGCAGGGUUUAGACUGCUUAAAGUUUUACUGGGUAGAAAGGAAAGGGAGAAAAGAUUGGAAUGGCGGAUGUAUACAAAGAUCAGUUUAUUUAGUUAACACUUGAAAUGCCAGCAAUAAUUUCAACAUAUCAGAAACAUAGCCUAGGUUAGAUCUUAAAUGUUCUGGAUACAAGAGCAAAAACUCUGUAAUUUGCUUUUUUUCUUAUUGGGGAAGAGAUUAAAAAUGCAUACAUAAUUUUCAGUAGUGAAUUUUUUGUAUAAAGUUAUACAUGCAACUCAAUAGAAGAGUACAAAAAAUAAGUCAGCUGUGCAAAAACUGAAGGAAACCCAAAUUUUGAAGAAAAAAACCAUUUUUUUGGAGCCUUUACACAUGGAAUGGCAUUGGUUAACAGACUGAUCAAACUCUGUUAAAUAAUAUUAAGAUAAUUAGACACUAUUUAACUAUGGAUCCUCAUAAAAGUCGGCCAUGAUGAAUUUAGGUCAUUGUGAUCUUGGAACAAAACCUCCAUUUAGAAUGUUGUGAAGCCUCAGCCAAGCACACUCCUCCCUCUCUUGGACAUAGGACUACUGUAGCAGACUCCAAAAAGCUUAAGUGUAUUGUGCUAAUACCCUUUUAAUAACUCUCCCCCCCCCCCAAUUCCAGAGAUAAACAGAAUUCAAUUCUAGUGGAGACCAUUUUCUGUUGACUUUAUUAUUUUUUUUAAUUGCUAAUCUUUGCCAAGAAGAUCUGGAUUCAAAUUUGACUUCAGGCACUUAAUAACUAUGUGCCCCCUGGGCAAGUCCCUUAAGUUCCCUCAUCAUUAGCUUCUUUAUUGAUAAAAUGUGAAAUAAUAUCUGUGAUGCUGAACUAACAGAGUUCUUGAUGCUAUAUUUGUUAUUCUGUUUGUUGAUUGACCUAAGUGACUAACCCAUAAUGACAUCAUCAAUAGACAUCAGAGGUAGGACCCUUGAACACAAGUCUCCCAGAAUCAAAGGGUAAUAAUCUACUGAUCCACUUUGUCCUUCAUUUUAAAUAAAAUUUUUAAAAUGACAAUUAUUGCUAGCUUAUUUUUCUCUUUAUUUUAGAUGUAAUUUAUGUAGAAAUGGUCUGAGAAUAAAUCACUGUCCUGCUAUUAUUUGAUAGUUAAUGCUGUACAGACUAUUACAAUAUGAGGGCAUAUCAAAUGACUGCUUGUUGUUAUUGAAUAAAAGUAUUGAGAUCGUAA